Non-coding RNA from Mus musculus (house mouse), 337 nucleotides. NCBI's taxonomy places the organism in Eukaryota, Metazoa, Chordata, Mammalia, Rodentia, Muridae. The record is from the annotation of a RefSeq genome assembly.
AUGAAAUCCUUUAGUAUUUCCCUAGUGGUCCUGUGGCUUCAGCUAAACUGGGUGAACAGCCAACAGAAGGUGCAGCAGAGCCCAGAAUCCCUCAUUGUUCCAGAGGGAGGCAUGGCCUCUCUCAACUGCACUUCCAGUGAUCGUAAUGUUGACUACUUCUGGUGGUACAGACAGCACUCUGGGAAAAGCCCCAAGAUGCUGAUGUCUAUCUUCUCCAAUGGUGAAAAGGAAGAAGGCAGAUUCACAGUUCACCUCAAUAAAGCCAGCCUGCAUACUUCCCUGCACAUCAGAGACUCCCAGCCCAGUGACUCUGCUCUCUACCUCUGUGCAGCAAGCA